This 65-nucleotide transfer RNA is filed under the name Onchidium reevesii. Its description in RNAcentral is "tRNA-Asp". The record is from RNAcentral. Lineage: Eukaryota; Metazoa; Mollusca; Gastropoda; Systellommatophora; Onchidiidae.
UUUUACCUAGUUUAAACUAAAAUGGUGGUUUGUCAAACCAUUGAUGAAAAAAUUUUCGGUUAAGU